This 484-nucleotide ribosomal RNA is filed under the name uncultured bacterium. RNAcentral's name for it is "partial 16S ribosomal RNA". It matches the Rfam family "Bacterial small subunit ribosomal RNA", at positions 29 to 507 of the family's 1533-position model. The record is from RNAcentral.
AUUGAACGCUGGCGGCAUGCUUUACACAUGCAAGUCGAACGGCAGCGCGGGCUUCGGCCUGGCGGCGAGUGGCGAACGGGUGAGUAAUGCAUCGGAACGUGCCCAGUAGUGGGGGAUAGCCCGGCGAAAGCCGGAUUAAUACCGCAUACGACAUGAGGGUGAAAGCGGGGGACCGAAAGGCCUCGCGCUAUUGGAGCGGCCGUUGUCGGAUUAGCUAGUUGGUGGGGUAAAGGCUUACCAAGGCGACGAUCCGUAGCUGGUCUGAGAGGACGACCAGCCACACUGGGACUGAGACACGGCCCAGACUCCUACGGGAGGCAGCAGUGGGGAAUUUUGGACAAUGGGGGCAACCCUGAUCCAGCCAUGCCGCGUGAGGGAAGAAGGCCUUCGGGUUGUAAAACGCUUUUGUUCGGGAAGAAAUCCUCUGGGCUAAUACCCCGGGGGGAUGACGGUACCGGAAGAAUAAGCACCGGCUAACUACGUG